GCCGGGAUGGCGGAACUGGUAGACGCGCCAGACUCAAAAUUUGGUGGUGGUGACAUCAUGAGAGUUCGAUUCUCUCUCCCGGCACCA
RNAcentral lists this transfer RNA (87 nucleotides) under Gammaproteobacteria bacterium. RNAcentral's name for it is "tRNA-Leu". It matches the Rfam family "tRNA". Rfam says of the family: Transfer RNA (tRNA) molecules are approximately 80 nucleotides in length. Their secondary structure includes four short double-helical elements and three loops (D, anti-codon, and T loops). Further hydrogen bonds mediate the characteristic L-shaped molecular structure. tRNAs have two regions of fundamental functional importance: the anti-codon, which is responsible for specific mRNA codon recognition, and the 3' end, to which the tRNAs corresponding amino acid is attached (by aminoacyl-tRNA synthetases). tRNAs cope with the degeneracy of the genetic code in two manners: having more than one tRNA (with a specific anti-codon) for a particular amino acid; and 'wobble' base-pairing, i.e. permitting non-standard base-pairing at the 3rd anti-codon position. The record is from RNAcentral. Lineage: Bacteria; Pseudomonadati; Pseudomonadota; Gammaproteobacteria.